UACAGAGGUCCCGAGCGUUGUCCGGAAUCAUUGGGCGUAAAGAGCUCGUAGGCGGCCUGUCGCGUCUGCUGUGAAAUCCCGGGGCUUAACCCCGGGCGUGCAGUGGAUACGGGCUGGCUGGAGGCAGGCAGGGGAGAACGGAAUUCCCGGUGUAGCGGUGAAAUGCGCAGAUAUCGGGAGGAACACCGGUGGCGAAGGCGGUUCUCUGGGCCUGUACUGACGCUGAGGAGCGAAAGCGUGGGGAGCGAACAGG
This 253-nucleotide ribosomal RNA is filed under the name uncultured bacterium. Its description in RNAcentral is "partial 16S ribosomal RNA". It matches the Rfam family "Bacterial small subunit ribosomal RNA", at positions 524 to 776 of the family's 1533-position model. The record is from RNAcentral.